RNAcentral lists this ribosomal RNA (1953 nucleotides) under Triticum aestivum (bread wheat). RNAcentral's name for it is "partial small subunit ribosomal RNA". Lineage: Eukaryota; Viridiplantae; Streptophyta; Magnoliopsida; Poales; Poaceae. The record is from RNAcentral.
AUGGGGGUCCUGAUUCCUGAUAAUGAUUUUGCUCAUGUCGAUAUCCUUAGAGAAUUAGAAGUAGUUCGAGCCAAUCUGGUUGAUAAGAAGAGUAAUAUCCAGGAUAAUAUAGAUAAGGAGAACAUGUUCAUCACCAAUGGGCUGGGAAAGGAUACUCCUUUAAACCUAGCUUGGCUGGAUGAGGAUGAGAUGAUCAAUGAAAAAAUUAUGAAAUCCAAAUCUUCUAAGAAAAAUAAGAGAAAGGUGGAGGUUCGACUACCUAGAGGGGUGGGCAAGAAAGGGAUGGCCACCUGCCUCUCUGAUAUCAUUAGUGAUCAUCUCAUCGACUUUGUAGGAUUACAGGAAACCUUGAAAAAAGAUUUCUCCCCCAAGCUCCUUAGGAGGCUUGAUCCUUUUAGUUCUUUUCAUUGGGAAUGGAUCCCUACUAUUGGCAAAUCUGGGGGGAUUCUCUGUGGUAUUCGAAAUAGCAAUCUGGAAUUGUUGAACUGCAUCAAAGGCAAAUAUGUGUUACAGUUGAAUAUCAAAGACCUCAGGACCAAGAGGAUUUGGAGCCUGCUGGUGGUCUAUGGUUCUGCUCAUGAGGAGCAUAGGGAGGAAUUUCUGAUUGAGCUAGCUUCCUUUUGCCUCAACACUAACAUCCCUUAUAUUGUGGGGGGCGAUUUUAAUAUCCUGAGGCACACUGGGGAGAAAAAUAAAAAGGGUGGGGGUCGGAUAAAUUCGGCCAUGCCAAAAAGCGCAAAGAGGAAUUACGCCUCGAGCUUUGAAUUAUUAGAGGAGGCAGAGGAGGAGGGCCCCCUGCCACCUGAUUUAUAUGGUAGAAAGCUGGAUGUGUGCGUUGAGCUACAUGAGCUGCUAGCUGCUGAAGAGAUUUAUUGGCUGCAGCAAUCUCACGAGCGAUGGUUGCUCAGGGGGGACCGUAACACGGACUACUUCCACAAAAUAGCUAAUGGCCGCAAACGUAAGAAUACUAUCCAUGCUCUCAAAUAUGGAGAGGUGGAAAUAGAGGGUACUGAUAACCUGCUGACCCAUGCCACUAGUUUCUAUAAGGAACUGUUUGGCCCGGCCCCUGACACCCAGAAUGGGAUCUGGCAAGAUAUUGUCAGGGCUCGGUACCUACGUACCCAAACUGUUGCGUCCGUGAGUCCCCAUUUCUCUGAUUCCCCCUGCUGGAAAAAUUUGCUGAGCAUCAAAGAUCUUUAUAUGGCGGGCAGAAAAAUCCAGGUGGGAGCUGGUAACCUGACCAGGCUCUGGAAGGAUUCCAUCAAUGGGCUGAUCCCAUUUCAGGAACAAUAUCCUCGCCUGUUUGACAUAUGCGUCGACCAAGAAUGUACCUUGGAUAGAAUGGAGACUGUGGUGUGCUCCAACUUCUUUCGCAGAAGGUUGGACCCAGAGCUCUUGGGACAGUGGACUGAUCUCCGUGAUCAGGUCAGUGGCAUGCAUUUGUCGGAUGCCCCGGACGCUGUUUACUGGGGUCUGAAUAAGUCAGGCAAGCAGGUGAUGCGACAGCGCAAAUGGCCGGGGAACCCUGUGUGUUCCUUCUGUCAACAAGUUGAAACCUCCCAGCAUCUGUUCUUUGAAUGCCCAGUUGCCAGGGUAGUGUGGCGAUCUAUUGGAGUAACCCUUGGGACUGAACUGUGUCCUAGAAACCAAUGGCAAUUCUUUACAUGGUGCUAUUCUUUUCUACCUGACUAUGAAACCUUCUAUAUUGUGGCCUUGGGUGCAGUCACUUGGUCUAUAUGGCUGGCACGCAACAGUGCUACUUUUGAGAGAAAAAUGAUCAAUACCCCUUUCGAGAUAGUUUUUACAGUGGUCUCUUUCCUAUUAUAUUGGGCAGGUCUGCAAGACAAGGGCGACGCCAAGCUACUUCGUACGGGAGCGGAGAUGAUUCGCAAUGGGACUCUGAUGCUGAUGAGGACCUGUGAUGCGGCGGUCAAGAUUGGUGGCUCUAGCUGA